Molecule: long non-coding RNA, 671 nt
Organism: Podarcis raffonei (Aeolian wall lizard)
Lineage: Eukaryota; Metazoa; Chordata; Lepidosauria; Squamata; Lacertidae
Exons: 3
Source: RefSeq, a predicted model, not a curated record
CACUUAAGGUUUUUAACAUUAAGGAAUGGUUUUGAUAAUGUAGAUGGACACAUGACGUUCUACUUUUACGUUCAUGACGUGUAAUUACCUUGUCUUUUUUAUCGCUUAAUUUUUUAUCGUUUUAUGCUGCUAUAUUGGUGAAACACUGCUCAUAUGUCCCUAUGUAGUGGUUUACCUUUUUUUUUUUUACUGCAUUCAAACUGUGACCCCCCCCCCAAUGGGAGCAAGGAAGAAUUAAAAUGGUACACAAGAGCAACCAACAGCACAGAUAGAAACAGCGUACUAGAAAAUGGUGUGGCCGGGUAUUACUUACAUUUGACAGAAAAAAGCAAGUGGCAUUUAAAGUGGCUGCAGAUAGGCUGGAUUCCAAUCUGGCUCAUCAGUGGGUUUUGAAACUGUUGUUGCUAUGCAUUUGAAGUGUUCUGGAAUGUAUGUUCAUCCUCCGAGGUCUUGCUUAUGAAUCCUCACUACCAAAUUCAGUGGAUCAAUGAAAUAAAAAACAUGGUUGAUUCCUAGAGGGUCUUUGGAUAGGGGAAAAACCCUCAAGUGAUCAUGAUAACAUAAAAUGAUAAGGCAGAGGGCCUUCUUGGUAGUGGCACCCUCCCAUCAGAUGUCAAGGAGAUGAAUAACUAUAUAACCUUUAGAAGACAUCUGAAAGCAGCUCUGCAUAG